Molecule: ribosomal RNA, 436 nt
Filed under: uncultured Lachnospiraceae bacterium
Lineage: Bacteria; Bacillati; Bacillota; Clostridia; Lachnospirales; Lachnospiraceae
Description: partial 16S ribosomal RNA
Rfam family: Bacterial small subunit ribosomal RNA
Source: RNAcentral
ACGGGAGGCAGCAGUGGGGAAUAUUGGGCAAUGGGGGAAACCCUGACCCAGCAACGCCGCGUGGAGGAAGAAGGUUUUCGGAUCGUAAACUCCUGUCCUUGGUGAAGAGCAGAAGACGGUAGCCAAGGAGGAAGCCCCGGCUAACUACGUGCCAGCAGCCGCGGUAAUACGUAGGGGGCAAGCGUUAUCCGGAUUUACUGGGUGUAAAGGGAGCGUAGACGGCGAUGCAAGUCUGAUGUGAAAGCCCGGGGCUCAACCCCGGCACUGCAUUGGAAACUGUGUUGCUAGAGUGCAGGAGAGGUAAGCGGAAUUCCUAGUGUAGCGGUGAAAUGCGUAGAUAUUAGGAGGAACACCAGAGGCGAAGGCGGCUUACUGGACUGUAACUGACGUUGAGGCUCGAAAGCGUGGGGAGCAAACAGGAUUAGAUACCCUGGUA